Molecule: transfer RNA, 73 nt
Filed under: Bos taurus (domestic cattle)
Lineage: Eukaryota; Metazoa; Chordata; Mammalia; Artiodactyla; Bovidae
Also listed under: 4 other names
Rfam family: tRNA
About the family: Transfer RNA (tRNA) molecules are approximately 80 nucleotides in length.
Source: Rfam by way of RNAcentral
UCCCUGGUGGUCUAGUGAUUCAGACUCCUCACUUUCACUGCAGGAGGCACAGGUUCAAUCCCUGGUCAAGGAA